This 446-nucleotide ribosomal RNA is filed under the name uncultured bacterium. RNAcentral's name for it is "partial 16S ribosomal RNA". It matches the Rfam family "Bacterial small subunit ribosomal RNA", at positions 338 to 795 of the family's 1533-position model. The record is from RNAcentral.
CCUACGGGUGACAGCAGUCGAGAAUCAUUCACAAUGGGGGAAACCCUGAUGGUGCGACGCCGCGUGGGGGAAUGAUGGUCUUCGGAUUGUAAACCCCUGUCAUGUGGGAGCAAAUUAAAAAGAUAGUACCACAAGAGGAAGAGACGGCUAACUCUGUGCCAGCAGCCGCGGUAAUACAGAGGUCUCAAGCGUUGUUCGGAAUCACUGGGCGUAAAGCGUGCGUAGGCUGUUUGGUAAGUCGUGUGUGAAAGGCCCGGGCUCAACCCGCGGACGGCACAUGAUACUGCGAGACUAGAGUAAUGGAGGGGGAAGCGGAAUUCUCGGUGUAGCAGUGAAAUGCGUAGAUAUCGAGAGGAACACUCGUGGCGAAGGCGGGUUCCUGGACAUUAACUGACGCUGAGGCACGAAGGCCAGGGGAGCGAAAGGGAUUAGAUACCCCUGUAGUC